Long non-coding RNA from Poecilia latipinna (sailfin molly), 2572 nucleotides. RefSeq lists it as uncharacterized. Lineage: Eukaryota; Metazoa; Chordata; Actinopteri; Cyprinodontiformes; Poeciliidae. The record is from RefSeq and is a predicted model, not a curated record. The transcript has 2 exons.
CAUCCACGUUCGUAUAUUUUCGACCUUAUUUGUUCAGUCCUAACCUACAUCUCAUGAUCCAAAUGGGGGUUGGACUUUCUCUUUACUAAAGUCAGGAAAUGUUAAAUUUUAUCACUUCUGUUUCUGCCCUUUUCUACUUAUUGAUCCAUCAAUCUAUUCCACCACAUGCCUUAACUGCUUCACGUUAGGAUGCAAGUCAUACCUUCAGGGUGGAAACGACACUUUUCUGUAUAAUGGAGUUAAAAAUAAUUCUUUUACCUGCUUUUUUGCUUUUCUCCAAACAACCUGCUGGAGAAUCUUGUUCUAUGAGGCUUAUUGUUUACAUAUCCCUUCAUUUGGAUUUGGCCUGCACGGCUUCAACUGUUGUUCAGUGAAGGCUGUCAGAGCUUAGGAUUGUUUCUGGGAAUAUUUGCUUAUUUAACAUUUGCUUUGGUUUGCUUAAAAUCAGAUUCAGUUAGGGUGCCAUUUCACAGAACUUUGGAGCAGAGUUCAUUCUUCAACAAAGAGUCCACAAAAAACUUUUACAAGGUUUCAUUGAAGACAAACAUUCUGCAAACUUGGAAAUCCUUCUUCUGAUUUCAAUUUGGAUCACCUCUUUGUGACUCCAAUUUAUACAGCGUUUUGAUCUGCAUGUAUCAUGGAUAAUGUCUGAAGACUUUAAAUGUCGCCGGUGCUUUCGAAAAAUGAGACUGCCGGAAGUGAGUGAACAAAAUGGGUUAUUUACUGUUUUUUUUUAGUGCAGUAAAGUUACUAAAUAUUGAGCUAUGACUGGACAGUACAAACAGAAUGAAGACGAGGACAUGCAAUGACAGAGAGAACAUAAGGUAAAGGGAAACUGGACGAUGACAGCCAUAAAUCCUGUAUGCAUAAGUGUGUUCUUCUGAUGCGACCUAGAAACAGAAAAAUGAAGACUGACCAUGAUUUUUUUUCUUUUUUUUUUUCUUUCUUGCAUUUUUCUUUCCUUCUCUCUUUCUCCUCUCAUGGAGCAGGAACAUCACUCUCUAUUCUGCAGGUCAGAGAGGGAACAAUUAAGUGUGGAGGGCGCUGGGAGUCGCUGACAGGUGAUGAAUGGCCAGGCCGGCUGCAAGUGACAAUAUGCAGACAAGCCGGAUCAUUUGCAAAUGGAUGUGGGGAGAUGGAGGAUGGGUGGGGUGGAUUGGGGUGGUGGAUGGAGGCGAGGAAAGUCAGGGGCAGGAGGAGGGGGAGAGAGAGCUGGAAGGGGGAGAGAGGGGUUAACCCUUCCAGAAUCAUUUCUCAGCAGCAGGAGGAGGUGGUGGAGGCGCAGCCACCUGCCCAGUAGAGAGGCUCAUUUGUUAGAGCUGAUGGAGGCCUGAGGACAACUGGCGGCCAUGGGGAAUACACUGCAGGUAGCAUCAGCACACCACUAUGUUGACCAACAGCCACAAAAUCAGCUCAGCUUGAUUGAAAACAGCUUCCCUCUAGUUAGUUAACUGGAGAUUUCUAUGUGUUUUUACCGGUUGUCAUAGCAGGACGUCAUUAGGGUUUCAUUUGAUGUCGGCCGAGUUGGAUAUAUAUUUAUAAAAACAAACUAGCACAAAUGUUUGCACUUCUGUAGUUUUGACAGUAGUGGAAAGAAGCUAUUAGCUCAAAUGGUAUCUUUGCUCCUGCUACCCAAUUUACACCUUCAUUCAGCCUUUUUCUUUCAGUCUCACACAGUUGAACUAAGAUGUGGGCAGAAGCCUUAUUUAGUCACCUGACAUGUAGAUCAAUCACUUACUUGAUCCCUAAUGCCCUUAACAAGAUCAGUCUGCAGCAGAGGACAUACGAGUUACUCACAUAAAUGUGUUGUCCUUGAUAUAGCUAUUGGCACUUGCAGUAAAACCUCAGGUAGCUUCAGUUUAAAGGUUUUACGUAUUAGAGAACAAAUGAACUUCCGAUAAUUUACAGAUUUUUGUAAAAACAAAAAUACAAAUCUGACCUGUCUCUCACCUGAUUGUGGAGGAAUUUUUGAUCACUCUUCUUUUACAUUUUUGCUUCAGCUUCAACUAAUGAUAGAAUAUUUUGAGCUCCACAUGAAUUCCUCAGUGUACCAAUGAUUUCUCUCAGCAUUGCACACUCUGACUUUAGGGUGAAUUAUAUAGGAUGUCUACUCCUGAGUAGACUGGCAGCUGUCUUAAAUGUCUUCCACUUGUGAAUAAUCUCUUUCUAUGAAGAUCUUUAGAGUUUUCAUAGUUUGGAGAUGAGAUGGCCUUAUUGCAUUUUCCCAGAUUGAUAAUGAAAACGUUAUUUUAAGGCUGUGAUGACUUUCGGUAGAGGCAUACAUUUUACACAGUGGGUGAUUAUUUGAGGUUUCUAUUGGCGUGUCCAAUCAAAAGAGUGACAACCAUUGUGUACAUAUCUAGUUUUUAUGUUACUCAUGUAUUAUUUCCUGUGAUAUUAAUCACUGCCAGUUUUAUUUGACAGGUGUUGGAUUUCUGGUCAGUAACACAUUUUUUUUUUCUUUUUAUCUUUUGCUACCUCUCAUCUUUUCCAUUUAGCGAGUAGUGAGGGAUUGUCAAGUUCUCUUGUUCAUGCAUAUGGACUGACCAUCUGCAACAACACGCAGCAAAAA